AUGAAGACCGCCUUCAAGACAAAGGAAGGGUUAUUUGAAUGGCUAGUCAUGCCAUUUGGACUCUCAAAUGCACCAAGUACCUUUAUGCACUUAAUGAAUCAAGUCCUUAGACCCUUCUUAUCCCACUUUGUUGUGGUCUAUUUCGAUGACAUCUUGAUCUAUAGCAAGGAUGAGGAUGAACACUUCGAUCACGUUCGGAAGGUGCUAGAAGUACUAAGGGAAAAUGAGCUCUACGUCAACUGGAAGAAAUGUGUUUUCCUACAAACACAACUUCUUUUGCUAGGAUUCGUCAUAACAUGUGACGGCAUUCAUGUUGAUGAUUCUAAGGUUGAAACAAUCUGA
Molecule: ribosomal RNA, 342 nt
Filed under: Triticum aestivum (bread wheat)
Lineage: Eukaryota; Viridiplantae; Streptophyta; Magnoliopsida; Poales; Poaceae
Description: partial small subunit ribosomal RNA
Source: RNAcentral